This 216-nucleotide ribosomal RNA is filed under the name Glomeromycotina sp. RNAcentral describes it as "partial small subunit ribosomal RNA". The stretch from base 40 to 216 matches the Rfam family "Eukaryotic small subunit ribosomal RNA", at positions 686 to 864 of the family's 1831-position model. The record is from RNAcentral. Lineage: Eukaryota; Fungi; Glomeromycota.
GGGUCCGUAGGUUCGUCGUGCCACCGGUACGUACUGGUCUCACUGAUUCCUCCUUCCUGAAGAACCGUAAUGCCAUUAAUUUGGUGUUGCGGGGAAACAGGACUGUUACUUUGAAAAAAUUAGAGUGUUUAAAGCAAGCUAACGCUUGAAUACAUUAGCAUGGAAUAAUGUAAUAGGACGAUCGAUCCUAUUUUGUUGGUUUCUAGGAUUGACGUA